Molecule: long non-coding RNA, 5013 nt
Filed under: Lotus japonicus
Lineage: Eukaryota; Viridiplantae; Streptophyta; Magnoliopsida; Fabales; Fabaceae
Description: long non-coding RNA (LJAP_LNC001382)
Source: RNAcentral
GGCUUGUAUUCCUUUUGUUUAAAGGGAAAGUGUUAAUGUAGAACAAAUCUGCCCAUUCAAGCUUUUGUUCCUCAGACACAACAAAAGCCUGACCAAACCCCUGCCCAACUUCUGGUGUUUGCCAAAGUUUCUUCUUCUCUUCUAUUGGAAGGUUGAAGAGGUCUUGAACACCUUUCUUCAUAUUUUCCACCAGUGAAGGAUUGACUCCAUGAUUAAUCAGCUGUAAUUAAUUUCAGAAAAUUUGUGCAAAACAAAUAAAGUUAUAUCAUAUAUGUAUUCCCUUGAUAUUAAAUCCCAAUAUUAUAUAAGCACUAAUUCAUCAAGUGAGUGCAAAACCAACUUCUCAGCACAGGCGCAAAGAUGAUUUCCUACUCUAGACCCCAUUGCAUCCUACUCUUGAAGUUAAUUUCCACAAAUUAAUUUUUGCAUUUUUUAAUCAAUAAUUGCAUAAAUUCAAGUCUUUCACAUCUUAUGUUGUUAUUAAGUUUAACACUGUUUCAAGAAAAAAAAAAGGGGUUUAACACUCUUGAAGUUUUUUUUAUUGCCAUACUACAUUACUUUUGUAAUUUCAAUCUGGGUGUGGUGAAAAUCAUAGGUCUCUCAAAAGUGCUCGGCUUUGAACUUUCGGCCUAGUGGUUCAAACCUUCACUUUUAACUACUGCCACUAGCACUUAUGAGUGUGACACUCUUAAAGUAAAGUCUAGUUUGGAAGAGCUUUUAUAGAGUUAUCUUAUAUUAUUAACGUUUGGUAAUUGUUAUUCUCACUCCAUCACAUCUAGUUUCACCCCCUUAAAAUGGCAAAAAAAUAGAGAUGUCAUUAAUGAAAUAGAAAAACUACUAAAAUGCCAUUAAUGAAAAAAAUACAACAACCCUCCACUCCCUUCCUCACAUCUCUCUCCUCUUUCUCCCCUUACCAACACCACCCGUCAUCAUCCCAUCUUCCUCCUAUCUUCAUACCCAUCUUCAUCCUAUCUUCAUACCCAUCUCCAAACUCAAUCUCCAUCUUCUCCUCUCUCAUUUUUCUGUCGUCGCCCAUUGUCAUUUGUCUGUCGUCGUCGUUAAAGUUGUCGUUUUCAGAUCUAUUUUUUCCUACAACUAAACGCACUUUAAAGUGUGUCACCUGUCACCUAAAGUGCGUAGUUAACGCACUUUAAAGUGUGUUUAGCUGCAAAUUUAAAGUGCAUUUAACUGCAAAUUUCAACAGAAUUAUAUCAGCUGAUUUUUAAAAAUUAUGAGACCACCACAAUAAUUCAAGAUAGAAUAUUUGGUGAUAUAUGGUGGAAUAAAAAAAAAUUCAAAUUUCAAAAUAAAAUAGCAGAGGAAGGAAUUUGGGUCCAGGACAGUGUGAAAUUACUUAAUUUUUUUCUUCAACUUUGUAGUUUACUCCAUCUUGAUCCGAGACUGAAAAAAAUCAAUUAUUGGACUGAAACACACACUUUAAAGUGUGUUACUUAUAACGCACUUUGAAGUGCGUUACUUAUACUCCCUCUGUUCCUAUAUAUAAGUCACAAAUAACUAAUUCUCUUACAUUAAGAAAAGUAGUUACUAUCAAUAAAUUUGUAAAGAAAAUUAUUUACUUUCCUAGAUUACCCAUAUUUACUUUCCUAUUAUUUUCUCUCUCCAAGUUAAUACUUCUAAAGUUUAUCAUCUCUUUCAUAUUAAAUAUGAGGGUGAAAUUGGAAAAAAAUAUUUAAUGCUUCCUAGAUAUUAUAAAGUAACUUAUAUUUUGUAACAAUUUUUUUUCAAAAAAAGUGACUUAUAAUCAGGGAACGGAGGAAGUAGCACUUUAAAGUGUGAGAGAGAAAAUUUUAGGGUGUUUACAGAUUUUAUAUAUUUGAAGGGAGGUGAAAUUAGAUGAGAUGGGUGAGAAUAACACUUACGUUUAUGCAAGUGUUUGAGAGAACUUAUAUAAAUAGCAUAUGGUCUCUACUUAUAAGCUGUUUUGAGCUUAUUUUCAUAGUUAGUCAAAUCAGCUUAUGAAUAAAAGUUUAUGUUUAUCCGUAACCCAUUUUCAAUUUAUUUCAAUAAGUAUCCAUAACCUAUCAAAUUAACUUAUGAAUAAACUCUUAAUUAAUUAAAUAGAACCUAAUUAUUUAAAAGAUUAUCUAUUGUUUUCACUUUAACAUUGGGAAAGAUAAUAAAUUAGAGGAGAAUUAAUAAGACUAAUUAACCUGGAAGAAACCCCAUUCUUUGCAGGCACGGUCCAGCUUUUGUAGUUCAUGAGAAUCAUGUUCAGACAACAAUUUAUGCAGGUCAAUAAUAGGAACUUGUUGUGAUAAAGAGGCUGUGUGUGUGUUAGAGACAAGAGGUGGUUCUUGAUCUGGACGAACAUAUCGUUCAGGAACUUGGGUGAUGGGUUGCUUUGCUAGCAGCUCCUUCACAGAAGGCACCAACAGAGAGGUUCCUCUGUAAGCCAUUAACUUAGCUGCCCCUUAUGAUGAGUCCAAGUCCUUUUGCUUGGAUGGAUUUUAAGAGUGAUAGUUGAAGAGAUAAAAAUCACCAAUUAAAUUUCAAUUUAGAGUGUAAGAGAGGAAUGUUGGAAAAGUCUAGCUAAUAAUUGCAGUGAAAAUGCAUUUUUCUUCCCUUUUGAAUUUUCAACAUAAAAGUGACAUGUACCAAAACCUGGCUAACUUGAUAAGGUUGUGUGUUUGAUUCGCGCUGUUAAUGUAAGGACUGUGUUUGUGGACGAUCUAUAAAUAUCUUUAUAAGUAACUUGUGUGAUUCCGGAGGUAUGCCCUGACCUGUGGUGGUGACCGGAGCUGAACUCACUCAAACUUUUGUUCAUAAAAAACAUGAAAGUGACAUGAGAGGUGUAAAUGCUGACUUAUUCAAAAUAUCUUUUAUUUUACCUCUUAAAAAAUAAAAAUAUUAGUAUUAAUAAAAUUGUUAUUUGAUAUGUAAUUUUCUUUGCUUCCACUCUUUUCUCUGACUUUUCUUUCUCAUCUAAAUAAAGCAUUAAGUUUUCUUUCUUUCACAUGUAAAUGCAGAUUUUAUUAAUAGCAAGCCAGAACCUCCAAAAAGACAACAUUAUUGACACAUCCAAGCAGCUUUUUAGCCAAUACAUGAGUUGCACUAUUACAGUCUCUUUUAAUAUGAGUCAGAGCAAAGAAAUCAAAAGAAGAAACCAGCAUGCGACAAUCUUGUACCACAAGACCAUAGAUAGAGUAGGAUGGAUUUUUGCUUAUGAAAGCUUGAACAACUUUAAACAAUCAGAUUCAGCAACAACCUUCUUGAAACAAAGAGAGAAGGCCGGAAUUGAUGAUGCAGAGGAGAGAAUGAAUUGUAUUUUAAACAAAAACACAUUUUAUCCUGAAAUGAAUAUGGUACUGAAAGUUGGGGGGACACACCACAUCAAAUAAGAAGUUCAAGAAUGCACAUUUGAUGUCCCAUAAUACAAAUUUGCUAACUCACACUGGCUUCCUAUGUAACAUAUGUUCAGCUUGAAGCCUUCAACAAUAGGUCUUAGUCUUAUUCACUGAUACAACUGUUGCCAAUUAGCAAACCGUUUGUGUCUGUGGACUUGUAUUCUAUCUUUCCAUUUCAGGCAGAUUCUUAUAAACUUAAACUAUUUCCCAAUCUCGUCAUGGAUCCUAACGACUUCCAAGUGUGAUUUCCCUUGUAGCUCACGCGAAAGAAAACCAUUGAGGUAAUCUGCUACACCAAUUUUUCUGAAUAAAGCAGGUCUUUCGGAAGUAACAAGACUUGUUGUUGGACCUAAGAUUCCGUUCAUUGUCGGCCUGUGAAAUGUAGCAACGGAGAUCCUCUCCUUCUCUGAAUUGACUAUUGCUCGAUGCUCAAUGCUCCGGUAAAUUCCAUUUGUUAGUAUCUGCCAAAGCAUUUAUGAAAUGAAUGAAAUUUUCAAUCAAAAUGUUUUGUUUGUACUUUCUUAUAGUUGUUAUAAGAUUAUGUAAAUCCCAGAUGAUAAAAAGAAUUGUGAAGGAUUUUGUGCUGGUUACCUCCAACAUGUCUCCAAUGUUGAUGACAAAAGCAUUAGAAAGGGGUUUAAUAGGAACCCAAAUUCCAUCUUUUCUUAUUUGAAGGCCUUCCAUUUCAUUGACUUGGAGAAGGAUGGUAAAGGCCCCAGCAUCAGAAUGAGGAUUGAGUCCAAUAACUUUAUCUGGUUGAGGACAUGGAGGGUAGUAAUUCAUCCUCAUUCCUUGACUUGCAUCUUCAAACAACUCCACAAAUUCGUUAGUUUCAGUCUUCAGAGCUUUCUCCAUAAGGCCAAUCAUGGUGACACAGAUGUUUUUCAGUUCUGAACUAUAUGCAUCUAGAUUAUCUCUGCAAUCAAACAGAGUUUGUUUGAGUUACCAACAUAAUAAGUAAUAGCAUAUUUGGAUUAGCUUCUUUUUCCUCAGAAUCGAUUCUAACAUCCAGAAGCUACUAACAUAAGCUUUUCCGCAAAAUUGAUUCUAUUCCAAACAUGAUGUUAUAACUACACACAUUAUCCAUUUUGCACAUACACAGAAACAAAGAGAGAGAACCUGAAUGGUUGGGGAAUACUAGGAAUAAGGCGUGGAUUCCUUUUGUUUAAAGGGAAAGUGUUAAUGUAGAACACAUCUGCCCAUUCAAGCUUUUGUUCCUCAGACACAACAAACAACUGACCAAACCCCUGCCCAUCUUCUGGUGUUUUCCAAAGCUUCUUCUUUUCUUCUAUUGGAAGGUUGAAGAGGUCUUGAACACCUUUCUUCAUGUUUUCCACCAGUGAAGGAUUGACUCCAUGAUUAAUCAGCUGUAAUUAAUUUCAGAAAAUUUUUGCAAAACAAAUUAAGGUAUAUCAUCAUACAUGUAUUCCCUUGAUAAUAAAUCCCAAAUACAAUAGAUGCAGUAAUUCAUCAUGCGAGUGCGAAACCAAAUUAUCAGCACAGUCCUGAAUUUUUGUUUGGUAUACUAAAUUGCUCUCGGAGUUCUGACCGAGGAGAUGGUGAAGGCUAGAGGUCUCCCCGCGGCACUAAGGAUCAAACUUUCGAACUUAGCACCUAUUGGGUGUAACAAUCUUGAAUUAAGUAUAUA